ACACCUGGGGGAAGGAUAAAGGCGGAACCACCCUGCCGCCAACACAGAGCAUGCUGGGAGCCAGACCCGCCAAGCUCCUCCCACCCCAGGCGUUACUGUGAGAUGCUGGGCUUCACACAGACCCUCUGAGUGUCUGUCCAGAGGAUGAAACGAGGGGCAGCCACACGCUUCGGGCAGACACACAAAACCUGGUGCACACAUCUGCACUGUGCACACCAGUGACUUGAGUUUUCUCUACGGCUGAACUUAAGGCUCCCCCUCAGGCACUUUGGAGUGAAUUCCACCCAGUUCCUGCUGAGACAUGCAGCAGCCACCCAGCCAUUGCUACUUACUGACCUGGACAGGGAAGCCCCUCUUCUACCCAUCGCCCAGAAGCUGCCCCACCCACCUCCUGGCCUGAUAACUAAGAAGGAGCCCUCUCUACUCUGAGAGCUCAGAGCUGCUGGGGUGGGGAAGUGCCUGCAGACCCUGGAGAUCUCCCUCCACUGCUAUGUGACCCUGGGCUCCUGACCUAAUCUCUCUGUGCCUCUGCUUGUUCACUUGUAAAAACGGAGAUAACGAUUGUACUUCACAGGCUGCUGUAGGGGCUGAAUGAAGUAAAGUGUGUGAAGCCCCACAGCGCUGCAGCUGUGUGCACUAAAGGAGGCUGAGCCGCCUUUUCAAUGUUUAUUUUCAGGGAGACGGGGCACUAGAUGCUUUCAUGAGACCCCCACCUCCUCGGCUCCCCCACCCCGUGGGACUAGAGGACAUCUCAGGAAGCGGGAAAUGGAGCACCACGGCCAGGGUUAAACUUAACCGCAAGGAAAAGGAGAAUGAGAAAAAAAUUCCAAGUUUCCUGAGAAGAUGAAGUUUUUGCUUAAUUGGUGGAAACUGGGGGUCAGCUCUGCUCAAGAUCCCAUGCUGUCUGGAGGCGACGUGGUCAGGUGACCAGGCCUGUUAGUAAAUCCCAUUUAGAAAGUGAGUGACUUGGAGACAGGCUGAAGCUAGGAUUGCAGGAAGCUGCAGGCACUCAGGUCAGCCAGCAGAGGGGGCCAUUGGUCACUGUGGUUUGGACCAGGUUGGAAGGAUGGGGAACUGGGCUUCCCUGUGUCCUGCUCCAUUGCGGUCAGAGCGGUCUGGCCUGAUGUCAGUGGUCUUUGAACACACUUAUGAGACUACACAGCCACAGCCCCCGCCCUGUGUGGCUAGGGUGAGGCAUGGGAUUGAAGUGUGUGCCCUAACUCAGUAAUGAUAUGAAAUUAUUUAAGAAGUGGCCUGUCCAGGUCCCCACAAGUCUGCGGUUAUCUUGGCUUGGAGGACAAGUGAGCCACUGGCUCUGCUUGUGUAUUUCAUUUUGACUGGAGAGUUUCGGUUUUAAAGACGAUCCGAGUCUGCCUGGUCAGGCCCCUCUCUGUGGGUCUUGUCCUUCCUGGUGUCACAGACCCUCACAACACACUUGGCUUCCAUUAUCAGAUGUUGACCCUGCACAGAAGGACAUGCCCAGCUUCUCUCUGCCUGACUGGGUAUCACUGAGGUUGUGAGCUGCCCUGGAGACCCCAAUUUCAUCACCAGACUCUGAGACUCUUGGAAACUCCUUGGGUGAUUCUGAUCCACACCUGUUGUUUGAGCCACUUGAGAAGUGUUGGCUUUGGGGAGGGGCUAGUGUUUACGCCAACUGGGACCCCAGAUGCCCAACUUGUGUGAUGACCCCUCUGACCUUUGCAGGAACAACAGAGAUGUGUUAAGGCUCCAUCUCCCCAUCCUCCCACCUGUGGCCAGGUCUUCUGGUAGGGACGAAGGUUGCUCCAGCAUCUAACUCUGGCCUGGAGUCUCCUCCAAGUUUCCCAGGAAACACAUUCUCCAGACAGGACCUGCUGGAAGCGAGCUCCACCCGUGGCAAAGGUCAUGAGGAAGGAGGCUUGGCAUACGCAAAGGCGGGAUUGAGCCUCAGGAGUCCCCCUGGAAAUUCUCGAGCAUCUACCCCCCAAAACCAGAGUCUGCCUACUUUCUGCUUUGUGCUUUCACCUACACCUCUGACUUUACGGGGGGCUGUCCCCCACUACCUCUCUCUGAAAAAAGAGUUAGCUUACAGCUCCAGUUAAUAAUUCCUGGGUGUGACAGUGUUUCAACCUACAAACUCCUUUGGAAGUCCUCUAGCCUGCCUGAAUAGGUUUUUCCGGCCACAUGUGAUUGUUCAGAGCCUCCCAACUGUGAGAGGCAGGAGAUGUUCUAAACUGUCUAAACACAGAUUCCUUUGAGUAGUUAAAAGAUUGAUUAGAAAUUGUUUUGGUGAAGGGUUUUUCACUUAUUGGGCCAAUGUUUGCUGCUAAGUCUCCAUAUCCCUUACCUACUGUGUCCUUGGCAGUGUACUGAUUGAUAUAAUGGGUGUAUAGAAAUGUAAGUAGUAGCUUUAAUGUUUGUAAUCUUGGACCCUUGAGUUAAUUCUUUUCUUGAUUGAGCCCACCUCACCUUUGCCCUAUAGGAAUGCAACUUUAUCCAAUGCUUUUUGGAGGCUGGCGCCUGACUUUGGAAUAAUCACCUUUAGAGAAAAAUAAGUUUCUUAAAAUGUUAACAGGCCUCCUGGCCAGAAGAUGAUGUAAAUCACCUAAACUUUUGCAUAUGAUAAGUUUGAAAGCCUGGCCUGGCUUUGAUUAGGAUCAGGAACUGCUGUCCUUGCAUGACUCCACCCCCUCCCCCAUUAUCCUCUAUGCACAACUUAAGG
This is a long non-coding RNA of Bos taurus (domestic cattle), 2701 nucleotides long. NCBI's taxonomy places the organism in Eukaryota, Metazoa, Chordata, Mammalia, Artiodactyla, Bovidae. The record is from Ensembl.